Molecule: unclassified non-coding RNA, 240 nt
Filed under: soil metagenome
Description: partial contains 5.8S ribosomal RNA, internal transcribed spacer 2, and large subunit ribosomal RNA
Source: RNAcentral
AACACUGUUAACCUGCGGUACCUGCGGAAGGAUCAUUAUAGUAUAUGGAGUCUCCAUUCUAUAAACCCACUCUGCGUAUCUUGUAACUGUUGCUUCCAUGGGACUUGGUUCCGCCACACCGGCUUCACGGCUGGUGAGCGCCCAUGGAAGGAGAAACAAAACUCUUCUUUGAAAUGUAGUCAGUCUGAACAAGUUUUUAUAAACGUUAAAACUUUUAACAACGGAUCUCAGAUCGGAAGA